Molecule: ribosomal RNA, 253 nt
Filed under: uncultured bacterium
Lineage: Bacteria
Description: partial 16S ribosomal RNA
Rfam family: Bacterial small subunit ribosomal RNA
Source: RNAcentral
UACAGAGGUCCCGAGCGUUGUUCGGAUUCACUGGGCGUAAAGGGUGCGUAGGUGGUGAGGUAAGUCGGAUGUGAAAUCUCCGGGCUCAACCCGGGAAUGGCAUUGGAAACUGCUGAUCUGGAGGAUCGGAGGGGGGACUGGAAUUCUUGGUGUAGCAGUGAAAUGCGUAGAUAUCAAGAGGAACACCAGUGGCGAAGGCGAGUCCCUGGACGAUACCUGACACUGAGGCACGAAAGCCAAGGGAGCAAACAGG